This is a long non-coding RNA of Tachysurus fulvidraco (yellow catfish), 294 nucleotides long. RefSeq lists it as uncharacterized. The record is from RefSeq and is a predicted model, not a curated record. The transcript is spliced from 3 exons. NCBI's taxonomy places the organism in Eukaryota, Metazoa, Chordata, Actinopteri, Siluriformes, Bagridae.
UUCAGGAGUGAAGCUGCUCUCUGAUGGACUGAAGAAUCCACACUGUACACUGGAUAUACUGUGGAUGAUUGACUGCAGUAUUACAGAUAAAGGUUGUGCUGCUCUGGCUUCAGCUUUGAGGUCAAACUCCUCAACACACCUGAGACAACUGAAUCUAAACCGUAAUAAUCCAGGAGAAUCAGGAGUGAAGCUGCUCUCUGAUCUACUGAAGGAUCCACACUGUAAACUGGAGACACUACUCAUUAAGAAUAAGAAACUCACCAGGUCUGGUGUAUGACAGGAGUCUCUCCUCAG